RNAcentral lists this ribosomal RNA (497 nucleotides) under uncultured bacterium. Its description in RNAcentral is "partial 16S ribosomal RNA". It matches the Rfam family "Bacterial small subunit ribosomal RNA", at positions 28 to 507 of the family's 1533-position model. The record is from RNAcentral.
GAUGAACGCUGGCGGCGUGCCUAAUACAUGCAAGUCGAGCGAACAGAUAAGGAGCUUGCUCCUUUGACGUUAGCGGCGGACGGGUGAGUAACACGUGGAUAACCUACCUAUAAGACUGGGAUAACUUCGGGAAACCGGAGCUAAUACCGGAUAACAUAUUGAACCGCAUGGUUCAAUAGUGAAAGGCGGCUUUGCUGUCACUUAUAGAUGGAUCCGCGCCGUAUUAGCUAGUUGGUAAGGUAACGGCUUACCAAGGCAACGAUACGUAGCCGACCUGAGAGGGUGGUCGGCCACACUGGAACGGAGACACGGUCAAGACUCCUAAGGGAGGCAGCAGUAGGGAAUCGUCCGCAAUGGGCGAAAGCCUGACGGAGCAACGCCGCGUGAGUGAUGAAGGUCUUCGGAUCGUAAAACUCUGUUAUCAGGGAAGAACAAAUGUGUAAGUAACUGUGCACAUCUUGACGGUACCUGAUCAGAAAGCCACGGCUAACUACGUG